Molecule: ribosomal RNA, 489 nt
Filed under: uncultured bacterium
Lineage: Bacteria
Description: bacterial SSU rRNA
Rfam family: Bacterial small subunit ribosomal RNA
Source: RNAcentral
AUUGAACGCUGGCGGCAUGCCUUACACAUGCAAGUCGAACGGUAACAGGUUAAGCUGACGAGUGGCGAACGGGUGAGUAAUAUAUCGGAACGUGCCCAGUUGUGGGGGAUAACUACUCGAAAGAGCGGCUAAUACCGCAUGAGACCUGAGGGUGAAAGCGGGGGAUCGCAAGACCUCGCGCAAUUGGAGCGGCCGAUAUCAGAUUAGCUAGUUGGUGGGGUAAAAGCCCACCAAGGCAACGAUCUGUAGCUGGUCUGAGAGGACGACCAGCCACACUGGGACUGAGACACGGCCCAGACUCCUACGGGAGGCAGCAGUGGGGAAUUUUGGACAAUGGACGCAAGUCUGAUCCAGCCAUGCCGCGUGCGGGAAGAAGGCCUCGGUGUAACGCUUUGUCAGGGAAGAAACGGCUCGCUCUAAUACAGUGGGCUAAUGACGGUACCUGAAGAAUAAGACACCGGCUAACUACGUGCCAGCAGCCGCGGUAAU